CAAUAGCGUAUAUUAAAGUUGUUGCAGUUAAAAAGCUCGUAGUUGAAUUUCUGGUGGGCGCGCCGGUCUUCCAAGUGUUGUACUGGGCGCAGUCCGCCAUCCUUGUGGAGAGGGCUCGCAUUGAGUUGCGUGUCGGAUCUGCAUCAUUUACUGUGAAAAAAUUAGAGUGUUUAAAGCAGGCUGUCGCUUGAAUACAUUAGCAUGGAAUAAUAAGAUAGGACUUCGGUCUAUUUUGUUGGUUGCGAACCGAGGUAAUGAUUAAUAGGGAUAGUUGGGGGUAUUCAUAUUUAAUUGUCAGAGGUGAAAUUCUUGGAUUUAUGAAGGAUGAACAACUGCGAAAGCAUUUACCAAGGAUGUUUUCAUUA
Molecule: ribosomal RNA, 365 nt
Filed under: uncultured eukaryote
Lineage: Eukaryota
Description: partial 18S ribosomal RNA
Rfam family: Eukaryotic small subunit ribosomal RNA
Source: RNAcentral